This 323-nucleotide unclassified non-coding RNA is filed under the name Hevea brasiliensis (rubber tree). Lineage: Eukaryota; Viridiplantae; Streptophyta; Magnoliopsida; Malpighiales; Euphorbiaceae. The record is from RNAcentral.
ACUUGAGCUGAUUAACAACUAGUUACGUCCUUUACAUCAUGCACAAAAUAAAGAAGAUAAAGAAAUAAAUUAACAAUUAACCAUGCAUAAGACUUUCUAUUGACUGUAGUAGCAGUGUACGUAUAUCAAACUUACAGCCAGAUACUUGCUAAAACCUAGGUCUAGAAGAAUUAUAGGUCUAUGCCCAUGUUAGGUAUUGUGCACAGCAAAUUAUAAAGACCAGCAAGCCAAGCAACGGCACAGAUUUUCCUUCUACAUGCAGAUCAUUUUCUCAUAUCCUUCCUUGUUUUUUCUCCGUAUUCAUAAUAUAUAUAUAUAUACAA